GUGAAUCAGAAUGUCACGGUGAAUACGUUCCCGGGUCUUGUACACACCGCCCGUCACACCAUGGGAGUCAGCAACGCCCGAAGUCAGUGACCUAACCGAGAGGGAGGAGCUGCCGAAGGCGGGGCCGGUAACUGGGGUGAAGUCGUAACAAGGUAUC
This 157-nucleotide ribosomal RNA is filed under the name uncultured bacterium. Its description in RNAcentral is "partial 16S ribosomal RNA". It matches the Rfam family "Bacterial small subunit ribosomal RNA", at positions 1344 to 1500 of the family's 1533-position model. The record is from RNAcentral.